GGUUUCCUCCAUUUUUUGAUGACAAUCCAUUCGGUAUAUAUCAGAAGAUUCUUGCUGGCAAAAUAGAUUUCCCGAGGCAUUUGGAUUUAUAUGUAAAAGACCUUAUUAAGAAGCUGCUUGUGGUUGACAGGACAAGACGAUUAGGAAAUAUGAAGAAUGGAGCAGAUGAUGUGAAGAGACAUCGAUGGUUCAGGUCUAUAGAUUGGGACGCUGUACCACAAAGGAGACUAAAGCCUCCCAUAGUACCAAAAGUAUCCAAUGAUGGGGAUACUUCCAAUUUUGAAGCUUAUCCUGAAGAUGACUGGAACAAGACUCCUCCGGUACCCCCUAAAGAUCUAGAAAUUUUCAAGAACUUCUGAAUGCAACAUCUACACUGGAUGAGAAACUGGAAGGAAAUUGAAGUGCUAAGAGCAAGUCUGAAGAAAAAUGGAGUUCAUACGUAAAUGAAGACUUUCUUUGUGGAUAAGAAUGAUACUGCAUUCAGAUAUGCGUAUUAGUAUAUAGUAAAUAUCUAAAGAGUUGGAGGCAGGCAACAAUAAUUUUUUGCUGUAAACAUUUGACGUUAGUUUAGUAAAUUGUAAUAUUGAUAGUCUACUCUGAAGUAGACUCACUAAAAUGGUAUAUUUUAGGAUUUUUUUUUUAACUUAUGGUUUAGAUAAGUUUCCUGCUAUUCCCAGAUCCUUUUGCAUAGUUAACUCAUAGACUUAAUUUUAUAAGUUUAUACUAAACUUGUGUAAUUAAAAGCACAAAUUAGUAUAUAUGUAUAUAAUGAAUACAAUACAACUAAAGCACAGGAACUGUGCAAAGAUGUAAAUUUUUGUAC
Fulmarus glacialis (Northern fulmar) is the source of this 823-nucleotide long non-coding RNA. RefSeq lists it as uncharacterized. The transcript is spliced from 5 exons. Lineage: Eukaryota; Metazoa; Chordata; Aves; Procellariiformes; Procellariidae. The record is from RefSeq and is a predicted model, not a curated record.